GCUUUUAUGAGCUGUAACACUCACCGCGAAGGUCCGCAGCUUCACUCCUGAAGCCAGCGAGACCACGAGCCUACUGGGAGGAACGAACAACUCCCGACGCGCCGCCUUAAGAGCUGUAACACUCACCGCGAAGGUCUGCAGCUUCACUCCUGAGCCAGCGAGACCACGAACCCACCAGAAGGAAAAAACUCCGAACACAUCUGAACAUCAGAAGCAACAAACUCCGGACACGCCGCCUUUAAGAACUGUAACACUCACUGCGAGGGUCCGCGGCUUCAUUCUUGAAGUGAGUGAGACCAAGAACCCACCAGUUCUGGACACAAUUUCAAGUCCUCAGGUGCCAUCAAUAUUCUGAAAAUGGCAGUGAUUUUUAUUCAACCUGUAUAAGGCACUUUCACCAUGUACCUGGAAGCAACAUCUACAUCUUUUUCAGUUUUCCUCUGUCCACUAUGAAGGACUUUGUGACCACAUUCUGACUCUGAUGAGAUCCUGCCCAGAAUUGACCUGAACCCCAAUAAUUCACCUUUCUCUCAGCAAUCUAGAUGCUGGGGACACAAGGUCCACCUUCCAGGAAUAUGGCCAUGACACCAGAAAUCACAAACAUGAUGAGAAUGGAAUGACUGGGGAAGAAGUGCCAGAUGCUUCACUUGUAAAUGAAGACCCAGCCUCUGGGGAUGCAGAUACCACCUCCCUGAAGAAGCUGAAUAUCUGCAGAUAAGUGGAGUUCACCAAUGAUGAGGAGCGGGAUGGAGAAAGGAGGUAGGGAGAGUCAUCCAAGGAACAUGAGCAACAUGUUAAAAGCCAAGUGGUUUAAUUUCUGGAGAUGGUGAACCCAAGAGGCUCUGCUGGGAGACAACAAAAAUAAUGAAGAAUUGAACCAGAGUCCGGUGAAUAUCAGCACUGGGACCAGUUAGCAGAGGAAAAGGAAAGAAUAAAAGCGAAAAGAAUGAAGAGUCAUAUGAUUACCAACUUUUCCUUUUUCAUAUAAAUUGAGUGUAUAUGGGUCUGGAACAACCUGAAUUUCCAUCAAGUCCUGGCUAACCUCAUUAUGUCCUAUGAAUAUUUUUGACUAAUCCCACUUUACAUUAAUCUGUAUUGUGAAUGUGGAUAUUGAAUUAUAUUUCUUUGUAAUCCCAUUAUCCAAAAUCCAGUUCAGAGACUAUUAGUUACCAAUGUUCACUGUGAAGGAAAAAAAAAAAAAAAAAGCUCAGAGGAUAAACAUGUGAUAUGGUUUGGCUGUGUCCCCACCCAAAUAUCAUCUUGAAUUGUAGCUCCCAUAAUUCCCACGUGUUGUGGGAGGGACCCGGUGGGAGAUAAUUGUAUCAUGGGGGUGGUUCCCCCAUACUAUUCUCAUAGUAGUGAAUAAGUCUCACAAAAUCUGAUGGUUUUAUGAGGGAAAACCCCUUUCACCUGGUUCUCAUUCUCUUCUCUGGUCUGUCGUCAUGUAAGACAUGCCUUUCACCUUCUCCACCAUGACUGUGAGGCCUCCCCAGCCACGUGGAACUGUGAGCCCAUUAAACCUCUUUCACUUAUAAAU
RNAcentral lists this long non-coding RNA (1537 nucleotides) under Homo sapiens (human). Its description in RNAcentral is "non-protein coding SCHLAP1:8". Lineage: Eukaryota; Metazoa; Chordata; Mammalia; Primates; Hominidae. The record is from RNAcentral.